RNAcentral lists this ribosomal RNA (256 nucleotides) under uncultured bacterium. RNAcentral describes it as "partial 16S ribosomal RNA". It matches the Rfam family "Bacterial small subunit ribosomal RNA", at positions 793 to 1055 of the family's 1533-position model. The record is from RNAcentral.
GUCCACGCCGUAAACGAUGGAUACUAGCUGUUGGGCGCAAGUUCAGUGGCUAAGCGAAAGUGAUAAGUAUCCCACCUGGGGAGUACGUUCGCAAGAAUGAAACUCAAAGGAAUUGACGGGGGCCCGCACAAGCGGUGGAGCAUGUGGUUUAAUUCGAUGAUACGCGAGGAACCUUACCAAGGCUUAAAUGUAGAUUUACCGGUUUGGAAACAGACUUUUUCGCAAGACAAUUUACAAGGUGCUGCAUGGUUGUCGU